Molecule: transfer RNA, 72 nt
Organism: Camelus ferus (Wild Bactrian camel)
Lineage: Eukaryota; Metazoa; Chordata; Mammalia; Artiodactyla; Camelidae
Rfam family: tRNA
About the family: Transfer RNA (tRNA) molecules are approximately 80 nucleotides in length. Their secondary structure includes four short double-helical elements and three loops (D, anti-codon, and T loops).
Source: Rfam
GAAGGUAUAGCUCAGUGGUAAAGCACAUGCUUAUCAUGCAUGAGGUCCUAGGUUCAGUCCCCAGUACCUCCA